This is a small nucleolar RNA of Tachyglossus aculeatus (Australian echidna), 138 nucleotides long. NCBI's taxonomy places the organism in Eukaryota, Metazoa, Chordata, Mammalia, Monotremata, Tachyglossidae. The record is from RefSeq and is a predicted model, not a curated record.
CCCUUCUCUGGGUCGCACCUGGAGAGUUUCCAGUACUCUACCAGUCACGACAACAGGAGGAAGAGUCAAGCCGAGGCAUACCGAUCCCAUUCCUAGCUUGGGCAAUGGCUAGUGAGUGGAAGAUAGUCUGCUGCAAGU